Molecule: non-coding RNA, 25 nt
Filed under: Cricetulus griseus (Chinese hamster)
Lineage: Eukaryota; Metazoa; Chordata; Mammalia; Rodentia; Cricetidae
Source: RNAcentral
UACAGGGACUCUGUGUAAGAAUGUU